AUGUCCACGACGAGCACUUGCGGGCUAUGUGGUGCAGAAGACUCAUGGCUUCAUUCUCUAUUUGAGUGUUCCAUGGCACGGUGCAUCUGGGCGUUGGUCGAUGGAGAACUGGCAGAACAUCUAUGUGGAAGAACUGAGCCGAACGCAAAGCAAUGUAUUUUCUCCAUGUUGGACUCGGUAUCGCAUGCAGCGUUUAUCCGGUUGGCAGUGACACUAUUGGCAAUUUGGUGGGCGAGGAGGAAGGCAAUACAUGAUGAAAUAUUUCAAAGCCCCUCGCCCACUCACCAGUUCAUCACACGUUUUAUUUCUGAGCUUGAGAUGUUACCAACCAACGCAAAGAUAACACGAGGUGUGCAAAUUCCAGCAAGGGUCAGACCAAAGGCUUGUCGGCCAUGUUUCUUGAAGGUCCAUGUAGAUGUUGCAGUAUCAAGGGCUCAUAACAAAGGAGCUGCCGCGGCGGUUUGUCGAGAUGACAUGGGAAAUUGUUGGUAG
This 492-nucleotide ribosomal RNA is filed under the name Triticum aestivum (bread wheat). Its description in RNAcentral is "partial small subunit ribosomal RNA". The record is from RNAcentral. Lineage: Eukaryota; Viridiplantae; Streptophyta; Magnoliopsida; Poales; Poaceae.